GCCCGAGUGGUGGAAUGGUAGACACAGGAGACUUAAAAUCUCUAGGCCGCAAGGCCAUGCCGGUUCGAGUCCGGCCUCGGGCACCA
RNAcentral lists this transfer RNA (86 nucleotides) under Tabrizicola oligotrophica. RNAcentral's name for it is "Rhodobacteraceae bacterium KMS-5 tRNA-Leu". It matches the Rfam family "tRNA". From Rfam's summary of the family: Transfer RNA (tRNA) molecules are approximately 80 nucleotides in length. Their secondary structure includes four short double-helical elements and three loops (D, anti-codon, and T loops). The record is from RNAcentral. Lineage: Bacteria; Pseudomonadati; Pseudomonadota; Alphaproteobacteria; Rhodobacterales; Paracoccaceae.